RNAcentral lists this ribosomal RNA (411 nucleotides) under Plocamopherus maderae. Its description in RNAcentral is "partial 16S ribosomal RNA". It matches the Rfam family "Bacterial large subunit ribosomal RNA", at positions 1829 to 2597 of the family's 2925-position model. Lineage: Eukaryota; Metazoa; Mollusca; Gastropoda; Nudibranchia; Polyceridae. The record is from RNAcentral.
AGCCUUAGGGUAUUAUCUAAGGUCAGACCUGCCCAAUGUAUAAUUAAUGGAUGAAUGGCCGCGGUACUUUGACCGUGCUAAGGUAGCGCAAUCAAUUGGCUUUUAAUUGGGGCCAGGUAUGAAUGGAGUCACGGAGUUUCACUGUCUCUUAAUUAUUUUAUCUAAAUUACUAUGCAGGUGAAAAAGCCUGUUAAAAGAAAAAGGACGAGAAGACCCUUAGAGUUUUUUAUCCGAGCAGUUUUGUUGGGGCAACAUAGGAGCAAAUCUCCACAAAUCGAUUGUUAGAAUUGAAUAAACUACCUUAGGGAUAACAGCAUAAUUUUAUAAAUAAGUUUGUGACCUCGAUGUUGGACUAGGAAACCUAGGGGCUAGCCGCCUCUUGGGUAAGUUCUGUUCGAACUAUAUAUUCCU